Molecule: ribosomal RNA, 379 nt
Filed under: uncultured bacterium
Lineage: Bacteria
Description: bacterial SSU rRNA
Rfam family: Bacterial small subunit ribosomal RNA
Source: RNAcentral
GACGAACGCUGGCGGCGCGCUUAAAACAUGCAAGUCGAACGAGAAGCCCGGAGCUUGCUCCGGGUGGAAAGUGGCGAACGGGUGAGGAGCACGUGAGGAACCUGCCCCGAAGACCGGGACAACACCGGGAAACCGGUGCUAAUACCGGAUGCCCUCACCGGAUCGCAUGAUCCGGUGAGGAAAUGGAUUCCGCUUCGGGAUGGCCUCGCGGACUAUCAGCUUGUUGGUGGGGUAAUGGCUCACCAAGGCUACGACGGUUAGCUGGUCUGAGAGGAUGUCCAGCCACACUGGGACUGAGACACGGCCAGACUCCUACGGGAGCAGCAGUAGGGAAUAUUGGACAAUGGGCGAAAGCCUGAUCCAGCCAUGCCGCGUGGGU